RNAcentral lists this ribosomal RNA (512 nucleotides) under uncultured bacterium. Its description in RNAcentral is "partial 16S ribosomal RNA". It matches the Rfam family "Bacterial small subunit ribosomal RNA", at positions 29 to 523 of the family's 1533-position model. The record is from RNAcentral.
AAUGAACGCUGGCGGCGUGCCUAACACAUGCAAGUCGUACGAGAAAGGGGCUUCGGCCCUGAGUAGAGUGGCGCACGGGUGAGUAACGCGUGGGUAAUCUGCCCUUGGAUUUGGAAUAACUCCGCGAAAGUGGAGCUAAUACCGGAUAGUCUGGCUUUUUAACGAAGUCGGUAAAGGAUGCCUCUGCAUAUGCAUUCGUCCGAGGAUGAGCCCGCGUCUCAUUAGCUAGUUGGUAGGGUAAUGGUCUACCAAGGCAACGAUGAGUAGCUGGUCAGAGAGGAUGAUCAGCCACACUGGGACUGAAACACGGUCCGGACGCCUGCGGGAGGCAGCAGUGGGGAAUAUUGCGCAAUGGGCGAAAGCCGGACGUAGCAACGCCGUGUGAGGGAUGAAGGCUUUCGGGUCGUAAACCUCUGUCAGAAGGGAAGAACGGGCAUUGGUCUAAUAGGCCUUUGUUUUGACGGUACCUUCAGAGGAAGCACCGGCUAACUCCGUGCCAGCCGCCGCCGUAA